AUACCAGAGCUCAUCAGGCUCUCAAGAUAUAACAAAAACAAACGAACUUCCUCCAAUUAUCUGAUCUAUUCUUCCCUGUUUCAUCUUUCUUUUACUCACCAUGUCGACCUGUGGCAACUGCGACUGCGCUGACAAGAGCCAGUGCGUGAAGAAGGGAAACAGCUACGGAAUGGAGAUCGUUGAGACCCAAAAGAGCUACUAUGAAGAUGCCGUGGUUGAGGUUAUGGCUGCAGCGGAGCACGACGGCAAGUGCAAGUGCGGAGCUGGAUGCACUUGCACUUCCUGCACUUGUGGACAUUAAACAUAUGCAGUACUGAUAUGAUACUACAGAAUUGUGUGGGAACCAUCAAUUAA
Telopea speciosissima is the source of this 354-nucleotide long non-coding RNA. RefSeq lists it as uncharacterized. NCBI's taxonomy places the organism in Eukaryota, Viridiplantae, Streptophyta, Magnoliopsida, Proteales, Proteaceae. The record is from RefSeq and is a predicted model, not a curated record. The transcript is spliced from 5 exons.